UAGGAAAUCUUCAAGCAGCAGCUAGAAGAGCACUUGUCAGAUAUGGGAAUUGAGCUCAGUGGCUCCAAAGGUCCCUUCUGCCUCUUAAAUUCUGUGAUUCUUCAUGGAUGGGUCAAUUCUUUUACCAGGAUUGGAGAGAUGAUGCAGAAAAACUUUAAGAAAAAAAAGGCAUUGAAUUUGAUAAGUAUUUUGUCAUCUCUUCCAGAAAUAUUAGCCAGCUUUGGCAUUGGGGCAAAGUGUGCACAAGAUAGGCGUUUACCAAGAGUGAAGGGUGAGCAAGUAAAAAACAACAUAUGCAUAAAAGCAGGAGAUUCAAGAACAGAAGCAAAUGCAUCAUUGAAUGGCCAAACCAUUGGGUCAGUCCUAGUGUAGAAGGGAAGAAAUGAAGGCUUCAAACUAUAAUUAGGUUAGAAACUAAGUUCUCAAAACUACUUCAUUGUGCACAUGCUAGCAGAAAGGAAGAGGAAGUGAUGAACAUGAAACAAAUAAUGUUUGUCCUAUGAACAAGAGACUAAAACCAUUUGUUCGGAUACAUUUGCAAUCGUUAAGUUCUCAUGUAGGAAAGUCCUUGAAACUACAUGUCACAUUCUGCUUCACUUUGAAAUGCAAAAAGAUCUUUGAGUUACUUCUUUAUUUCCUAGAGAUAAAUAAUUCUGCCCUGAUGUGUAACUUUCUUGUAGAUGUUAAACCACACAUAUUUUCCCAGAUUGCUUUUGAACAUGUAUCAAAGAUUCUAGAUCAUAUCUUUUACUCAGUAUUUUUGAAAAUUCAUGGAACUUCUACAACAGCAUGAGAAUUCUCCUUACAAUCAAAUGAUACAUAAUGAUAAAUUUUUGGCCCUAAUAGAUACAAACUCUACACACAACAGGAAUUUUUUUUAAACUUCUACACUGGGAAGGGAGAGAAGUGAGACUAGAACACUGGCAACAGAGAGAGAAUUCUCUCUGGGUACUCAUAAAUGUUUAUUUAAUAGGGAUUUAUUAAGAGAUCAGAAGUCAUCAUGAAAGCAAAGAGCAGG
RNAcentral lists this long non-coding RNA (1018 nucleotides) under Vombatus ursinus (common wombat). RNAcentral's name for it is "lncRNA (ENSVURG00010017312.1)". The record is from RNAcentral. Lineage: Eukaryota; Metazoa; Chordata; Mammalia; Diprotodontia; Vombatidae.